CGUCGAAUUCCUCGUAGUCACCACACCUUUCUGAUUCCUGAACCUGGAGGGGCGCAAAACCAAAAUUGAGUGGGUCAGUAAAACAAUUCUUUUCCAAAUCCAAACAUUUCUCAAAACGUUGUAACCCCUCUCCGUAAAACUUGUAUACUUUCCCAGAAAUGUAAAAUAUAAAUAUACAUAUAUAUUCUCAAAACUUUAUUUUUACUAUCUCAACAUUUUUCUUUAUCAAUCAUGCCAUGCCAUGUCUAAUUCAACAGUUAAGUAUGGAUGCAUCAAUAAUAAUCAUAUCAGGUGCAAGAAAGUAAUCAACCGGAGGCCCUCUAAUAGCCCUGUACGGUUGAACCUAGAGCUCAAAAUCUAUCACUCUCACUCUGCCGGAGUCACCAACUGUGACCUGUACGGCCUAUUGCCGGAGUCACUAGCUGUAACUUGUACGGCCUUCUGCACAUAAGUCGGAACCACCUAAUGUAGUCUGUACGACUUAAUGGUUAAUAUUACGCUCUAGUGCUUUCUCAUCAAUCAUCUGUGCACAUAAUCUAAGGUCACCCACCAGUCGAAAUCUCACUAACACUCUACGACUGGCCCGUCGCACCCACUCCGCGUGGACUGUGCGACCAGCAUCUACUUAGAUCCAAGGCGAGCGUGCGAUGCGGUGAAUACUAUAAGCACUAAACCAUGGUGCAGGAUUUGAGCUCAAUAUAUAUCAACAUCAUCAUAACAGUAUUUAAAUACUCACCUGAUACUCACCUGUGCGUCCGCCGCACCAAUUCAUACAUAUGCAUCAUAUAUCAAUUCAUA
This 798-nucleotide long non-coding RNA is filed under the name Malus domestica (apple). RNAcentral describes it as "long non-coding RNA (MDOM_LNC003535)". Lineage: Eukaryota; Viridiplantae; Streptophyta; Magnoliopsida; Rosales; Rosaceae. The record is from RNAcentral.